RNAcentral lists this ribosomal RNA (406 nucleotides) under uncultured bacterium. Its description in RNAcentral is "partial 16S ribosomal RNA". It matches the Rfam family "Bacterial small subunit ribosomal RNA", at positions 30 to 526 of the family's 1533-position model. The record is from RNAcentral.
AUUGAACGCUGGCGGCAGGCCUAACACAUGCAAGUCGAACGAGUGGCGGACGUGUGAGUAAUGUCUGUGAAACUGCCUGCUGGAGGGGGCUAACUACUGGAAACGGUAGCUAAUACCGCAUACCAUCAGAUGUUCCCCGGGUGGAUUAGCUAGUUGGUGGGGUAACGGCUCACCAAGGUGACGAUCCCUAGCUGGUCUGAGAGGAUGACAAGCCAAACUGGAACUGAGACACGGUCCAGACUCCUACGCGAGGCAGCAGUGGGGAAGAUUGGAAUAUGGGCGCAAGCCGGAUGCAGCCAUGCAGCGGGUAUGAAGAAGGCCUGCGGGUUGUAAAGUACUUUCAGUGGGGAGGCGUUACCCGCAGAAGAAGCACCGGCUAACUCCGUGCCAGCCGCCGCGGUAAUUC